CCCGCUGAACUUAAGCAUGUCAAUAAGCGGAGGAAAAGAACCUCACAAGGAUUCCCCUAGUAACUGCGAGUGAAGCGGGAAGAGCUCAAAUUUGAAAUCUGGCAGCUCUCUGAACUGUCCGAGUUGUAAUCUAGAGAAGUGUUACCUGUGCUGGACCGUGUACAAGUCUCCUGGAAUGGAGCGUCACAGAGGGUGAGAAUCCCGUCCUUUGACACGGACUGCCUGCAUGUUUAUGGUGCGCUCUCAAAGAGUCGAGUUGUUUGGGAAUGCAGCUCAAAAUGGGUGGUAAAUGCCAUCUAAAGCUAAAUAUUGGCCACAGACCGAUAGCGAACAAUUACCGUGAGGCAAAGAUGAAAAGAACUUUGGAAAGAGAGUUAACCAGUACGUGAAAUUGCUCGAAAGGGAACACGCUCUGAAGUCAGUCGCGUCGGCAUAGAAAUCAACCUUGCUUUUGCUUGGUGUACUUUCUUGCUGAUGGGUCAGCAUCAAUUUUGACCGUUGGAUAAAGUCGUUGGGAAUGUGGCAUCUUAGGAUGUGUUAUAGCCCAUUGUCGCAUACAGCGAGUUGGGAUUGAGGAACUCAUCACGCCCGCACAGGGACGGGUUUUGACCACGUAUCGUGCUUAGGAUGCCGGCAUAAUGGCAUUAAUCGACCCGUCUUGAAACACGG
Molecule: ribosomal RNA, 669 nt
Filed under: uncultured fungus
Lineage: Eukaryota; Fungi
Description: eukaryotic LSU rRNA
Rfam family: Eukaryotic large subunit ribosomal RNA
Source: RNAcentral